RNAcentral lists this long non-coding RNA (11397 nucleotides) under Olea europaea (common olive). RNAcentral describes it as "long non-coding RNA (OEUR_LNC000741)". Lineage: Eukaryota; Viridiplantae; Streptophyta; Magnoliopsida; Lamiales; Oleaceae. The record is from RNAcentral.
AAAUUCCCAAUUAGAGGUGAAGUCUCAGAAGAAAACCGACUCUACCGUCCGCAUUCGCUUCUCAACCUUAAAGCGGUGGCUGGCGCAGGCGCAGGCGCCGGUCCCAAAUUUUCAGCUGCCCAGGUAAAUUAUAUUCUACGGUUUAAUUAUUUACGUUUAUUUGGUUGUUGUUGAAAUUCUCUUCGUUUUUUUGGAGUUCUGAUCAGACGAACAUGAUCAAAUACAAAUUUUGUGAAAUUGCUUAAUAGGAAAACAGAAUGAUAAUAGCAUUUAACAGUACAAACUAUUGUUUAAUUCUAAACAAACUGAUACCCCAACUUGUAUGCUAUAUAGAUAUUAUACAAGUAUUCAAUUUGCUUAUUACACGAGGCAGAUGCAGUUUGCGUCAAUAGAGAUAGGUAGAAAUUCUGAAAUGCUCGAAACUUUAUUAGGGACGUCUUCCUUGCGAGAAGAGCAAAGGACCAGAUAGAGACUCACGGAGAUUAACUCCACUCUCAAAGAUAUGGCGCAUAAGGUCAAAAUGCUCCUCACCAACGUAAAAUCCGGUCCUUCCAUAUGAUUUCGAGAAGGAAACAUAUUUUUGUUUAUUAUAUGAAACACGAAAAAUAUCUUUAUUUAUUGUGCUUGGAAAUGAAGAACAAAAUAUAAUUUAUUUUUAAAAUAAAUUUGGAGAAUUUUUUUGUGAGAGUACCGGUUGGUAUUUUUUUCAACACUUCUUGAUUGCCAGAAACGACGUUAUGCUUUUUGUUCCAGAAAACUCCUUCAUGGCUUCUUAUUUCUGAGAGCUUUUGGUAACGUUUCUUGAGGUUUCUCAACCUUGCCUUAAGACAGAGAACUGUAAAAUUGGGCCCUAAAUUUUGCAGAACUUCCUCAUCAUGUGCAAAAUUCUAAAAUUUCACUUGAUUAAAAAAAAGAAGGAGAAGGAGAAGAAGAAAGAAAGAAAUUAAUAAGAUCUAAAAUUUUAAUCAUGCUCCACCUUUACUUCUUCGCCAUUUCUUUUGUGUUUGGGCUGGAUUAGGGGCCUGGUUAAGAUUCAAGGCUCCAAUCUCAAUGGUGAGAAAAGACCCUUAUUUUUUCAGGUAAGGUUCUUAAUGGAUACAAACUCAUAAUGUAUCAAACCAAUAAAAGUUUAUGGUGAUAUACAGUUACAACGGUCAGUCAUUGAUCAAGAUUCAUCUUGAAAUUUAUGCUUAAAUUGAUUGUAAAAAAAUUGAUCUAGAAAAUUAAAUUCUUGAUAACAAAGUUAAAGUUCUAAACCGAAAAAUUCUAGGUUACUCUUCAGAAUUCAGUAACCUGGUAUAGUGCUAAACUCGGUAACCCUUGUAGUGAAAGAUGGCUUUUUGUACUUGGGAAAAUGAAAUUCUAAACCAAGAUCUACAGACAAACGAUGAGUCUUGUUUAUAUAAUAGUAAAUGAAAUGCAAAGUCUGAAAGCAUUGGUGUAUGAGUGUGUGUCCAUGUAUCUGUAUAUAUUGACAUUUGUGAAAGCAUUUAAUAGAAAUAAAACGUUAGGUGAGACUUUUUUCUUUCUUUGCUUUCACACACACACACACACACACACACACACACACACACACACACACACACACACAUAUAUAUAUAUAUGUAUGUAUGUAUAUGUAUAUAUAUGUAAAUGAACUGUAAAGUCGGAAAGCAUCUGCAUAUGAGAGUGUGUCUAUGUAUCUGUAUAUAUUAACAUUUGUGAAAACAUUUACACCCUGUAUGAUCCACAUUCUUUCAAAAAAAUAUAUUUUUAGACAGUGAUUUGACAUCAUUUUAAUCACAUAUUUUUUAAUAAAAUAAUAUUACAUGCAAAUUCAAAACUUUUUCUUAUUUUUAAUCAUACAUUUUGCAUCAAUAUACUAUUUAAAAAUGCACUCUCAUGGAAAUAAUGUGGCUCAAACAAGGGUUUAAUAGAAAUAAAGUGUUGGGUAAGACUUUUCUUUCUUUGCUUUCACACCUGUGCAUAUAUAUAUAUAUGUGUGUGUGUGUGUGUGUGUGUAUAUAUGCAAGCAAAGAAAGCAUGAGUCUUAAGUAACAAUUUUGCUUUCGAUUAAAUGCUUUUAUAAAUGACAUAUACAGAAACACACACACACACACACAAAAAGGAUAGAUGCAAUGACACAUCCAUACAUACACUCGCACACACACAUAUAUAAUCUGACUUUUAUGAUUUGAGCGAACAAGACAUCACUAGCAAUGCUGUUGUUGAAGCAUUGACAAUCAUUAAAAGUACAUCAUGGUUUUCUUUGUACAUAUUACUUGAAAAAAAUUAAUAAAUGUUCCUAGUUUGGGGUUUCCAAAAAACGGUGAGAUAUCAGUAUUGAAAUCCAAGAAAUGCCUUUAGGGUUUGAAAUUAAGAUAUUCUAGAAAGUUGACAAGAAACUUAAGAAAAUUCAGGUGUUUUUGCAAUUUUCUUUUAGUUCUUUUCGUUAUAAUUGAGAAAUAUAUACGAACUACUACUUAUGUUGUUCGAACUCUCCAUUUUAGAGGAAGUACUCGUGUCGGACACAUUAGACAAGGGUAAGGGUAUGUGAUCCUUCUCGGAUUCUUUAAAUCAAAAGAGGAUCCUUUAUAUCAUUUUUGUUGUUUUGGUUUUGUAUUUAGAAUGAUUUCUAAUUUGUAUUUCACUUAUCUAGGCUCGGAAUAAAAUUCAAACGGUGAAUGUUGGACGCCGGCAAGGGAUGACAUAUGCUAAAGUUACGGCAAAUGUACACGCCACGCAGAAUGUUGAUCGAAGGGUGCUAACACGAAAGGAAAAGGUAGUUACUGUGAAUGAUAAUGAAGGUAUUUGUAAGAUGCAGAAACCUAAGGAAACACAUGUAGAAGGAUCAAAUGACGGUAUUUUGAAUUGUGCUGAAAUAAAGGCUCGUGUCUAGGCAUUGAAAGAGGAAUUGGACAAAUUAUCUAAUCUUGUGGGAUGUGAAUCUGUAGCGGAACUCGAGAUGCUUUUUUGCCAUAAGUGUGGGUUGGGCGUGGAAGCAAAAAGCUUGGCCCCUAGGAGCUAUCACCAAACGUAGGCCUUACUAAAGAUAAGGGGGAUAAUGACUCGGGGAUCGAAGCAGAUCAGGAGAUGGGACCUUGGUCUAACGUAGGGGAGCCGAAUAUGGUGAAUUUGGAGUCGGAGACACUGGGUAUGAUGGACACGACGCCAUCGGCAUAUGGAUUAUUAUUAGUUGAGAAAGAGACAGGACAUACAUUGGCUGAUGGUUUAGCUUCAACUGAACUGAAAGAGCAUGAUGCGACAUGUUCGAACACUGUAGUUCGAAACACAUAUAAUUGGCACUCGAGGCCCCUAAAAGAAAAGGAAUUAGGGACCGACGAAGCUCUAGUGUUGUGGACAGAUGGCGCCAAGAAAAGAGGAACGGAUAGUGAUAUCGAGCAGGUGGAGAAAGUAGAGGGAUUCCCAUAUGAUCUUUUGGAGUAUCGUCAUGCAGAGGAAACAAUGAAAGUGCGUGCGAUUGAAAGUCCCCCACCUUCAAAUUGGGUUCUUCAAAAAAUUCAGAAUUUCAGUAGGUUGGUGUGUCUUGUGAUGGAUAUGAAAGUAGACUAUUACAAUUAUUAGAGGCAGCAGGGGACAGGGGAUGAGUAUAACAGGCAAUAAAACAAGAAGAAAAGGAGAUCGCAAACUCAAGCAGCUUGAAUGGUAAAUAAAUUAUGGGGCUAAAGGUGUUGAGUCAAAGAAAAGAUUGCUUGGAAGGGUUGACAAAGCGUUAAGAUGAUACCAAAGAUAAUUAGUUGGAACAUAAGGGGGUUUAAUGUAGUGGAGAAAAGGUUAGGUGUUCGAAAUCUGCUAAGGGGAUGGAGGGCGGACUUUGUCUGUUUACAAGAAAUUAAGUUGGAUUUCGUCUCGAGGGCUGUUGUAAGCAAUUCAUGGGGGCAAUAUGAAGGAUCAUCGGGGGCCUCACGAGGUGUGUUACUCAUGUGGGACACGAGAGUUUUUGAUAUGGAGGAGGUGAGUGAAGGACUAUUUUCCUUAUAUCUUUCAUUCAGAAAUAUUGGGGAUGGAUUUUGUUGGAUGUUUAUAGGAGUUUAUGGCCUAAUGAUGAUGAGAGUGUGGAUUGUGGGAUGAGUUGACGGGGAUGAUGGCUUGGUGGAACGUUCCAACGUGUAUUGGGGGAGAAUUUAAUGUGAUUCGAUUUUCUACUGAGAGGUCAAGUGGUGGGAGAUUAACAAAGGCAAUGGAGGAGUUCUCAGAUUUUAUCAGGAAGAAUAUGUUAGUGGACCUGUCUUUGAUUGGUGGAGACUUUACUUGGUCUUCUAAUCGAGAGCAGCCUAUUCUAUCGGGAAUAGAUCGAUUUUUGAUUAGUGAGGCAUGGGAAGACUGGAAGAGAAGUACACAGAGGUUACCCAGAGAAGAUUAGGGAUGUGCAUUCUGACCACUUCCCUAUUUUACUGGUUGGGAAUGCGAGGUGUAGUGAAAGAAGACCUUUUAGGUUUGAAAAGACCUGGCAAAAAGUAGAAGGCUUUAGGGAGCGAGUAUGAGAUUGGUGGGCAUCUUACAAUUUCAGGGGGUCUCCCAGUAAUGUGUUGGAUCAAAAAUUGAAAGCUUUAAUGAGGGAUAUAAAGAGGUGGAAUGAGGAGGUAGUGGGAGAUGUUAACUGGCGUAAAAAUCAAUGCAUCUUAGAUAUAGAAGAAUUGGAUAGGAGGGAGGAAAGUCAAGGAUUGGUAGAGGAUGAGAGGGGGAGACGUGGAGAAUUAAGGGGAGAGUUGGAAAGGUUGGUGGAGAUGAAGGAAAUAGCUUGGCGACAAAAAUCUAGGGUCAAGUAGUUGAAGGAGGGUGAUAAAUGCACCCAGUUUUUCCAUAGAGUCGUCAAUUCUAACAAGCAUAACAAUUCUAUCACCAUGCUGGAGGUAGAUGGAGUUACUUAUGAAGACCUACAAGAUGUUGGGACCCAAAUGGUAAAUUUCUAUCAAAACUUGUAUUGUGAGCAGUUUGACUGGAGGCUUGAGUUGGAGGGGUUGGAUUUUUCUAUUAUUAUUGAGGAGGAUGCCAGCUGGUUAGAGAGACCAUUUGGGAAGGAUGAGAUUAGGGAGGUGGUGUUCAACAUGAACGACGAUAAAGCACCAGGGCCGGACGGAUUCUCAUUCUCAUUUUAUAAGGCUUGUUGGGAAGUGGUACGAUCGGACAUUGUGGAUGUCUUUACUUAUUUCUUUUAACGUGGCAGGUUCUUGAGAAGUUAUAAUACUACGUUUAUUGUGCUGAUUCCAAAAAAAAAUCGAGUGCAUCUGAUAUUAAAGACUUUCUUCUUAUUAGCUUAGUAAGCGGGGUGUACAAGAUUAUUGCAAAGGUGCUAGCUAAUAGAUUAAAGGAGGUGUUGGGUAAAGUGAUGUCUAAAUUUCAGAAUGCCUUUGUCAAAGGCCGCCAGAUAUUGGAUUCCGUACUUAUAGCAAAUGAAUGUAUUGACUCGAGACUGCAUAUGGGGAUUCCAGGGAUGUUAUGUAAACUUGAUAUUUAGAGAGCCUAUGAUCACGUGAACUGGGAAUUCCUUUUGUAUAUGCUCAGGCGAUAUGGCUUCAGGGACAAGUGGCGCCGUUGGAUUCAGUUUUGUAUAUCUAUGGUCUCCUAAUCAGUUUUGGUAAAUGGCACUCCUGAGGGUUAUUUUCGAAGUAGUAGAGGUUUGAGGCAAGGGGAUCUUUUGUCUCCAUUGUUGUUUGUUAUUGUUAUGGAGGCUUUCAGUAGGAUGCUUGAGAAAGCUGCCGGAAAAAGUCUGUUGAGGGGCUUUAUGAUUAACCAAUUACAGGUAUCCCAUUUGCUAUUUGCAGACGACACAUUGAUCUUCUGUGAUGCAGAGGCUGAGCAAAUCAAGAACUUGCGACUCUGCUACUGUGCUUUGAAGCUGUAUUUGGAUUGAAAAUUAAUUUGGGAAAAUCUGAGACCAUCACAGUUGGGGAUAGCGCUAAUGUGGAGGAGUUGGCGACUGUAUUGGGUUGUAGGACUGCGCAACUACCUAUGUCAUAUCUUGGGCUCCCUUUAGGAGCACGGUUUAAAAACAUACACAUUUGAAAUAGUAUUGUGGAAAGGGUGGAUAGGAGGUUAGUGGGUUGGAAGCGUAUGUACCUCUCAAAGGGAGGUCGUCUUACACUCAUUAAGUCCACUCUAUUGAAUCUCCCCACUUGCUUCUUGUCAUUGUUCUCUAUCCCCGUUUCAAUGGCAAAAAGAUUAGAGAGGAUUCAAAGGGAGUUUCUAUGAGAAGGUUUAGGGGAGGAAAUGAAACAUCACUUGGUAAGCUAGGGAGUAGUGUGUUCUUUGACAAAAACGGGGGGCCUCGGAUUGAGGAGUCUUUUAUUGUUUAAUAAGGCCUUGCUGGGUAAGUGGUUGUGGCGAUUCGGUGUGGAGAGAGAGCUUUUGGAGAGAAAUUAUAGAGGCGAAAUAUAGUGUUCUAGAGGGGGAUGGUGCACGGCUGAGGAUCGUGGUUCUUAUGGGGUGAGUUUGUGGAGGUAUAUACGAUGAGGUUGGAGAGAAUUUCAGGAUAGAUUGACGUAUGAGGUGGGGAAUGGCAAUACUAUCAGAUUCUGGGAAGAUUGCUGGUGUGGAGAUCGGCCAUUAAGAGUGGAGUAUCCUUCCCUGUAUCAUAUUACUUUGAUGCCGCAAGCUAUGGUGAAUGAAGUCUUACAUGUGCAUAAUGAGAAUCUCAGCUGGAACAUUGCUUUUGAGAGGGGUCUACAGGACUAGGAAUUGGAUGAUUAUGCGUUACUCCUGACCUCUUUGUACGAGGUGCACGUCUGGGUAAGCGAGAGUGAUAGUAGUAGGUGGAGGUUGGCACACGAUGGCAUUUUCUCAGUAAACUCUUAUUUUAGAUCUUUAUUGGAACUUGAGCAGAGUUCAUUCCCCUGGAAAAAGGUAUGGCGUUGUAAACUGCCCCCUUGGGUGUCAUUUUUACUAUGGACGGUUGUGAGGGAACAGGUGUUAACAGUGGAUAACCUUCGAUGUAGAGGCUUUUAUGUUACGGAAUGAUGUUAUAUGUGUCAGAGGAAUGGAAAGACGAUUGACCAUUUGUUCCUUCAUUGUAACGGUGCUUGUACCCUAUGGAACGAUAUUCUAGCUUCUCAACACAUAGAUUGGGUGUUUCCAUAGCGUAUGAAGGAUGUAUUGAAGGCAUGGGUGAGAAGAUUUCGUAAUAAAGAUAGCAAUAUCAUUUGGGACCUUGUCCCAGGAUGCAUCGUCUGUGUGUGUGGAGAACGAGAAAUAGCCGUUGUUUUGACGAUCAUACACGAACAACAAAACAUAUUAAAGAAUUGUUUUAUUUGACACUGUAUACUUGGUUUAAUGCCGUGGCUAUUAUUCGCGUAGACGGGUUGCCCAAUUUUAUGUCGUUUCUAUCUUGUAUUAAUUGAUAAUACACUUCCUGUGUAUUACCAUGAUUAAUAAAAUAUUUGAUUACCUAUAAAAAAUAUAUAUAUAUUAUUAAGAUUCAUUCUUGAAAAUAUAUACCUAAACUGAAUGUAUAAAACUUGUGAUCUGGAGAACUAAUUCUUGAAAAUAAAGUUUAAGCUCUAAAAAGGAAUAAUAUCAGCUUUGUUGUGGAGCACUUGGGGAUUUGGGCCUAAUUAUUUCUUAAGCUCCCAAGGUCUAGACUAGAGAUUUGGAUCAUUGAUAUUUGGGAUUACUCUUAGCAGUAUAGCUAAGUCUUCCUACGUGAUGCAAAGAUACGUAGGAGACUAUUAUUUAUGUCUCAUUUAGUGAUCAAUUACAUGUUUUUCUGCCUUUGGCUUCCCUCUAGGUGAUGACAUCAUGAGAUUAACCACUAGAUAGCUCUGAUGCUCGGACUUUCUAGACUAGAGAUUUGGAUCAUUGAUAUUUGGGAUUACUCUUAGCAGUAUAGCUAAGUCUUCCUACGUGAUGCAAAGAUACGUAGGAGACUAUUAUUUAUGUCUCAUUUAGUGACAAUUACAUGUUUUUCUGCCUUUGGCUUCCCUCUAGGUGAUGACAUCAUGAGAUUAACCACUAGAUAGCUCUGAUGCUCGGACUCUUCGAAAUGGAUGAAGUAUCCGCGUCGACACGAUAUGAGCAUAGAAUGUGUUAGCCAAGUUUCAAUUGGACACCUUGCUCUUUUUGCUUUUGUCUUUUUCUUCUUUCUUUUUUUGUUCUUUCCUUUUUGUUCUUUCUCGUUUCUACUCUCUGUAAACCUUGUUCCAUCGUCAAAAGGGUUGAGGAAGGCGGCAGUGCUAGGGUUUCCCUUCUUUCUUUUUCUUUUAUUCUUUUUUCCUUCUUUCCCUUUUUAUAUCUAUGGUUUAGGGUUUUCUUUGUAUAAAACGAAAAUGAGUUUCAUAUAGUACUAUUUAGUGUUCCAUUAAGUUCAAAUUACAAUCAAGUCCUUCAUUUUCUAUUUUAUAUAACAUUAGUAAUUAACUUCCCAUAAUUAAAAAGUAAACUCCAAAAUUUUAUAUAUUUGUUUUAACCCCUUAUUCAAUACUCAUUUCCUUCUUUGUGAACAAUUGAUUUUGGUCUAUUUAAAAUGAUAUCUUGGGUUAGUAAAAAUUUUUGAAUUUUAAAAGACUUACCCACGUACCCGUGUUUCAAAUUUGGAUUCUUUUUGGUUAUAUCUCUGAAUUCUAUAUUUUAGAAAAUAAAAGAUCUGAUACUUAAAUAUGUACUCGUACCCGAUACCCAUAUCCAAGUCUGAGCAUCAUAGCUUCUCAGUAUCCUCUUUUGGCUAAACUAAUUUCUUUUCCCUUUUUUAUUUUGUUAAAGCUAUUUGCUCUAGUAUUUCCUUGAACUUUGACUCCGAAAACAGAUAAUAUUUUUCAAUUAUCAGAUCCAAAUCUGAUUGUAUGUCAUUAUUCCUCUGAAUCUGGUAGAUGCAAAGGGAGGGUCAAAAACACUUGUUCAUGGCAUUAGUUCCAAUGUGGAUUUUGUGAAUGAAUGUGUUUCAUGGGGUAAUUGCUCUAACUCGUAACGUUAUGUGAUGAAUGUGUCAUUCUUGGGCUUUAUACACAGACCUAGAGCACCAGGCUUGACGAUGGAGUUCUAUUUUCGAGCUUCACCUAAGUACCUCUCGCUCUCCCUCCACCUACACCUCCACCUUCCCUCUCUGCUUUUGUGCCCAUGUGUUUUAUUUGUUUAUUUUGGUGGAUGAGGUGGGCAGGUGGAGAGUUCAAUAUUGAUUCUACUGACUUGGGAACUCAUCAAGAUGAAUAUCAACCUUGACUGGUAGUUUUGAUGCACGACUACUUUAAGUAGAAACUUGUAAACCUAGUGACUUUGACUUCUUUCAUUUUCUUAGUUGCUUUCACACGUACUCGAUUUUGUUUCCUCUUCCUUUCAAUCAUGUUUAACUGUCAAUGAGUUUUCAUUUCUGUUUAUCUGAAACAUGUUCUUUUUUAUUGAUCUUUUAUGUCAAUAGCUGAAACUGGAGCUGCAAAGCAAAGCAAUACUGCACAAGCCCUUGAGCAGUGAGUUACCAAACUUGUACAGAAACUUUCUUUAAUUUAUAAAUUUGGCAGCAAGAGCUAGCACUUUCACUUGCCUCACAACAAUAGGUGGGACACUAGGGUUUUUGAGUACUCUUAUUGUACCAUCACACACGCUAUACUUUUGUACAAGGCCUAUAUUUUCCAGCAAUAAAUUUUUUAAAUGUAGCUCUUGAUUACACUUUCGGAUUUAAAGGUCAUUCUGUUAAAUUUCCACAGGUAGAGUUAUUGUGUGCUGACAAGGUUUGCUUACUAUGUAUUGCUGUAGUAACUUUCAGCUGGGAAAAUGGAGGCAGUAACCUCGAAGGUUUUCUUACUAAUAAGGUGAAUAGAGUCUAUAAUCUUCAAUACUAUGUAUCUUGGUAGUAACUUUCAACUGGCAAAAUGGAGGCAGUAACCUCCCCUUGAGCUUGUUCCUCCUGUUCCCAUUCUGGAUUUGAUUUUAUUAGACUAACACCUACUACAACAACGGGGUUAUGCUUUAAGAAAAACAUCAUGUGAAAUGCAUGAUUUAAAGUGCUCAUAACUUUGUUAAUGUCCCCUUUUUUGUUUUUCUAAAUCUACUUAUUUUUGUUUACUAAUCAUUGGUUUAAAUGUGCUAUUUUCCAUGUGGACUAAUAGAUAACUAUCUUUGGGUAAAUUGUAUUCAUCUUCAAUCUCCAUAUACAUAUGCUCGUCUUCUGAUUAUUGAUAAGUUUAAUAUUUUCACGAAUUAAUGCAUUUUCAAAUUAUUUCUUUCUCAAAUUAAUUAGUUCCUGAAUGAUCUCAUAUCCUGUGGUUGGAUUAUUGAAUCAAUUUCUGCAACCAUGGAAAAGAAAAAAGCUUAACUAGAACUCAAAUAGAUCAAGUAAUAGGAUCAUGAAAAGGUCAAAAAAUGGCAAGAUAUAUUUCUGAAACCUUAAAAAUUCAUCUAACUAGAUUUCCAUUUUAAUCGAUUUGGGAGGCAGUAUGAUUGGAAUAAUGUAGAAUGGUACAAUAAUGAGAAAAGAACUUGAGUCUCCUCACAUGCACACUGCUUUGCACCACAUCAUGCAACAGCCUGACCAUUUCCCCACUUUUCCCCAUCGCCAGCAAACCAAUUCUAGUAUUUUGACCCGAAGAUACCUAUAGUUUUUAGUCCUUUUGCCUUUUCUUUUACUAUUGCUGAUUCUGUAUAGAUAUUAUAUAUCAUGAUAUUGAUAUGUACUUGCAUCUUACAAUUUGGUUUCAGGAACAGAUCUUAGAGAGGUUUGUUGAUGUCAAUUUGUCAGGGGCAAUUAUAGCUUGUGCCUUCUAUAGAUAUUCUUAGACUUUCAAGAGAUGGAGAGGCUAUUCAACAUUGAACAAUGUAUUAUAGCUUAUAAUUUUUACCACAGUCAGAGAGUCAUUAUUUUUAAUCGCUGAAUUGUCUGUUGUUAAGUUAAAAAUGUGUAUUCUCAAAAUUUUUUAAAUGUUUAUCUGGGUGGUGAUUUGGCCUUUACUUUCUAGUGUUUGAUCAAUUGCUGAAAGAAAGUAUAUAGGAGAUUUGAAUUCACUGAAUAUUCAUUUUAUGUAUUUGGAUUAUAUUGCCUUGCAGUGGAUAUGGUUCAGUGAUUUGAUUGAAUUUGGCGUGCUAUGUUCACAUUUAUAUUCUUUUCGGUUGUUUUAUUUGUUAUGUUCCAGGAACAUGCCGUUGUGGCUCGGAGGCUUGGAAGAAUACUCCACACACACAUUACAUUCUAUUACUCUAAUGAUUGGCCUUAUUAUCAAGGAGAUUCGAGAUACUCAUUACCUAAAGAACUAUGGAUGAUAUAAAUCAGUUAUUUUUUUUUGGCUCUUAUACUGUAGGGGAACCUUGUUCCAGCUAAAUUUCAAAGUACAACACCUAACACUAAAUUUCUCGAAAUUUGCUGUGGGCUGGAGCUCGAAGUGUUAGCUUUGGUGAUGACACCAUUAGUUGUCAGAAAUUUCCUUGCCAGCAAUACUUGCUCUGAGUUAUGAAAGUAUAUUGGCAUUGCAUUUAAUG